AAGUGAAACCGCGAACGGCUCAUUAAAUCAGUCAUAGUUUAUCUGGCAAUAUUUUUACAUGGAUAACUGCGGUAACUCUGUAGCUAAUACAUGCCACUUGUCCUAUGGGACUAAGCUUUUAUUACAAAAUGACUGCGAGAUAUGUCUUUACGUAUCUUCGCUUGAUUUGCAAGUAACUGAGUGACCGUAGUAAGCCUAGUGCUGACGGCGUGCCAGUCAAGUGUCUGCCCUAUCAACUUUUGACGGUAGUGUACCGGACUACCGUGGUUGUAACGGGUAACGGGGAAUCAGGGUUUGAUUCCGGAGAGGGAGCCUGAGAAACGGCUACCACAUCUAAGGAAGGCAGCAGGCGCGUAAAUUACCCAAUUCCAGAUCGGAGAGGUAGUGACGAAAAAUAACAAUAUGAAGCCCUAUGGGUUUUGUGAUUGGAAUGGGCGGAACAAAAUAAUCUUCCGCGAGGAUCUAGUGGAGGGCAAGUCUGGUGCCAGCAGCCGCGGUAAUACCAGCAUCCACAAGCAUAUACAAAAGUUGCUGC
This 535-nucleotide ribosomal RNA is filed under the name Haploposthia rubropunctata. Its description in RNAcentral is "SSU rRNA". It matches the Rfam family "Eukaryotic small subunit ribosomal RNA", at positions 79 to 616 of the family's 1831-position model. The record is from RNAcentral. Lineage: Eukaryota; Metazoa; Xenacoelomorpha; Acoela; Haploposthiidae.